AAAUUAAAAAUUAAUAAUUUUAAUUUUAAUAAAAGUAAUUUUUAUAUUGAAAUAAGGGGGUUAAAGUAUUUUAAUAGAAAAAAUUAGAAAUUUUAUAGUUAAUUAGUAUAGUAAUAGAAAUUUGAAAAAUUUGAAAAUAAAUUUAAUUUAAAGUAAAUUUAAUUUAUUGUAUCUUGUGUAUCAGAGUUUAUUAAUUAAUUUUUAAAAAUUUAAAUAUCUCGAAUUUAAAAGAGUUAAUUAAUUAAUAAAUUUAAUGUUGAAUAAUUAUUUUAAAUAAUUAAUUAGAAAUGAAAUGUUAAUCGUUUUUAAAUAUAUCUAGUUAUUUUAGAAAAAAAUUUAAUUUUAAAUUUAUAAGAUAUAUUUAUAUUAUUUAAAUAAUUUAAAUAAAAAUAAAUUUUAUAAUUUAAGGGAUAAUCUUUAAAUUAAAAUUUUAUAAUUAAUUUUUUUUUAUUAAAAUUUUUAAAAUUUAUAUUGUUUAAAAAUUAAAAUUUUUUAUAAAAAAUUUUAUAAUAAAUAAAAUUUAAAAAUAAAUCUAAUUUUAUAUAAAAAUAUGAUUUUUAAUUAAAAAUAAUUAGUAAUAAUGAUAAAAUUAGUAUAAUUAAUUAUUAAAAUAAAAUAAAUAAAUUAAAUUUAAAAUUAAAUUAAAGGAAUUCGGCAAAAUUUUAUAUUCACCUGUUUAACAAAAACAUGUCUUUUUGAUUUUAAUUUAAAGUCUAAUCUGCCCACUGAUUUAAAAUUAAAGGGCUGCAGUAAUUUGACUGUACAAAGGUAGCAUAAUCAUUAGUCUUUUAAUUGGAGACUUGUAUGAAAGAUUUGAUGAGAUAUAAACUGUCUCUUAUUUAUAUUUAAAAUUUAAUUUUUUAGUUAAAAAGCUAAAAUAAAUUUAAAAGACGAGAAGACCCUAUAGAGUUUAAUAAUUUAUAAUUUAAAAUAUUUAUAUAAAAUUUUUAAUGUUUAAUAAAAUAAAUUAUUUUAUUGGGGUGAUAAAAAAAUUUAAUAAACUUUUUUUUAAAAAAUAAUCAUAAAUAAGUGAAUAAAUGAUCCUAAAUAAAGAUUAUAAGAAAAAAUUACCUUAGGGAUAACAGCGUAAUAUUUUUUUUUAGUACAAAUAAAAAAAAAGUUUGCGACCUCGAUGUUGGAUUAAGAUAAAAUUUAAAUGCAAAAGUUUAAAAUUUUGAUCUGUUCGAUCAUUAAAAUCUUACAUGAUCUGAGUUCAAACCGGUGUAAGCCAGGUUGGUUUCUAUCUUUAAAAAAAUAAAAUAUUUUA
This 1267-nucleotide ribosomal RNA is filed under the name Shijimiaeoides divina. Its description in RNAcentral is "partial 16S ribosomal RNA". The stretch from base 1078 to 1235 matches the Rfam family "Eukaryotic large subunit ribosomal RNA", at positions 2825 to 2984 of the family's 3401-position model. Lineage: Eukaryota; Metazoa; Arthropoda; Insecta; Lepidoptera; Lycaenidae. The record is from RNAcentral.